CAGCAGUGGGGGAAUUUUGCAGAAUGCGGCAACGCUGGAGGCGAUCGAGGAUGCAUGAAGAGGGCCUUCGGGUUGUAAAGUACUUUACAGUCGGGAAGAAAUUCAGGUGGUCGCUUAGUACGUACCUGAAGAAGAAGCACCGGUACACUACACCCAUAACU
RNAcentral lists this ribosomal RNA (161 nucleotides) under uncultured bacterium. Its description in RNAcentral is "partial 16S ribosomal RNA". The record is from RNAcentral.